ACAGAAGAUUGGCAGUCAAAUUUGUCCCUUGUUCAUGGCUAGCAUUCACAUGAAUGGUGGUUGUUCCUUUUCAGAGAAAAAGAUUUAUUUCUGUCUAAAAUCAGGAUGGAAGAGUGAGUAGAGAAGAGAGGAAUAGAGAGACAGAAGCAGAAGAAGAGAUGAAGCACACCUUAAAAUUUUCUUACUUUUCAACUGGCAUUGCUGGUGCUGGAAUCAUAGGCAUUUUCUCUGGAUAUCUCGGAGGUCAAACGGGAAAUGCCCAUACAAUCCCUUUCAAGGUCUGCACAUUCUUCAUGCUGGCCACCUUUGUAUCUGGAGCUGCUAUGCUGCUUCUCACGUUCCUCCAUCUUAGCAGCCGCAUCUGUAUUAAAAUCUUCAGAAGCCUCAAGUAUAUAACUUUGGGGUUUUUAACCCUUGCAAUGCUUGAUAUUUCCUUUCUUUUCCUAAGGAUUUUUGCCAUUCUUGCCUUUGUUCCAACAUUGUUUAUAGUGAUGAUUGCAUUCUUUAUGGCUUUAUGCCAAAAUGGGCUCCCAUGGAGUCAUCACUAAGGUAACAAUGGCAUGUCAUUCCAUCAUUUAUCCUAAGCUGUCUGAAACAUUUGGAUGCUGUGGAUUGUCGUUCUCAAUCCUAGCCUCUUGUAACUAUGUAAAUUAGUAUGUAAAUAGAUCAGUUACCCAAAAGGAUUCAUGAAGAUUAUAUUAUGAUUAUUUUUGUACUAAUAUCAUUGUUGUAUUGUCUGCUGUCAUUGGAAAACAGGGAAAAAUAGAGAAACUAUAAUAGCAGAAUGCUUACUUUUGGG
Molecule: non-coding RNA, 799 nt
Organism: Elaeis guineensis (African oil palm)
Lineage: Eukaryota; Viridiplantae; Streptophyta; Magnoliopsida; Arecales; Arecaceae
Source: RefSeq, a predicted model, not a curated record